This 241-nucleotide unclassified non-coding RNA is filed under the name Hevea brasiliensis (rubber tree). The record is from RNAcentral. Lineage: Eukaryota; Viridiplantae; Streptophyta; Magnoliopsida; Malpighiales; Euphorbiaceae.
CGCUCUGCUAUCUUGCAUCUUUGAAGUGCUUCCAUGACUUGAUUGGCAGGGACUUGAAGCCAAGUUCUACAGUAGUGUAAGCCAACCAAGUUCAGCAGCUCACUAAGUUGGGGUCUGAAAAGCACCAUUUGAGCAUCUAUAAAACUAAGCUUCAAAUCCCACAAGCCACCAAUUGUCCUGAGAUAGUCUCCACCCUCGAUCGGAGUAGAAGGAGAGCAUUGUUCUAUAAACUUUACCGCGG